GGAAGAUGCCCUGGAAAAGGGAAUGACAACACACUCCAGUAUUCUUGCCUGGAGAAUCCCAUGGACAAGAAUUCUGCGGGGUUACAGUCCAUGGGGUCACAAAGAGUCAGACAGGACUGAGCUGAACUAGGGCCAGAAUCCCGCAGAAGGGAUUUCCAUGAUGCUGCACAAACAUGAGCCCGUGUGUCCAGGAUGAGGGGACCUGCACUGUGACCUACCUACGUCUUGUCAGUGGCAGGAGAGCUUCGGAAAGAACCAGAGGAGCAAGUGGGCUUUCCUGGUGGCUCAGACGGUAAAGAACCCGCCUGCCAGGGUCCAUCCCCGGGUUGUGAAGAUCCCCUGGGGGAGGAAAUGGCUACCCACUCCAGUCUUCUUGCCUGGAGAAUCCCAUGGACAGAGAAGCCUGGGGGGCUACAGUCCAUGGGUGGCAAAGAGACACAAACAACAAAGGGUAGCAAGUGUCAUAGUAGGGAACAGGGCUCUGGGGAUUCGGAAGCAGAGGCGAGCAGACGAAGAGAAAGAUGUUUACAACACGUAACCGGAGCGAGGACAGUGCAGGCAUGGAGAGGACAUUGGAAUGGAAAGGUGCAGGCUGUCUUUGGGGAAUGGGGCAGAGCCUGUUCAAGUCCAGGACCGGGCGCGUCCUGCAGUGGGGCUGCAAAGUCCGGCCUUCUCCUGGUUGGACACUGUCUCUUCGCUUCUACCGUCUGUUUCCUGGGGGUAGAGACCCUGCUCUCUAUGUAUUUGGAAACGAGCAAGGACGCUGCAGAGGGUGGUCCAUAAACCUCACGGCUGCAGAGAGGAAACAAAGCCGGCAGCGCCCCAGCACCGCGAGGCCCUGCCCGCUGUGAACCGAGUAGUACGGCGUCUCCCAGCUGGAGUGGAAGCUCUGCGGGGCAUGCAGGCAGAGAGAAGCAGGUCUCUUGCUAGCGAUCGUCAACCGAACAAGAAAGAAAAACGAUCUUUUCCUGAAACACACGAGGAAGGCCUGGACCUGGGCUCUGAGGUCAACGUGGUCCUCGCACCGCUGGUCUCCGGUGGGAGGGAGCUAUCCCGGGCUCUAGUGGCCGCCGGCAAGGAGUAGGAAGGCUGAGGCCUAAGGACCAGCGGUCGAGAGCUUGCAAACAGCGACUCGGGGCGGGCGGCGGGCUGGGACCGGGCGCGCCCUGCGGGGGUUGGGGCGGAGGAACGCAGCCUCUUGCAGCCCUUCUUCUGCCCAGGAGGACGGCCUUCUGCAAACCUGCCUGGACUCGGAACAAUUCAUCCUGUUUUUCCUUUAAAAAAAAUAAAUAAAAAUCCUGUUUUUCAUAAAAUCAUUGUCAGAACCCCGAAGAGGGCGGUACCCGAAGGAAUCUGGAAAACAGCCCGCAGGGGCGGGCAGCGGGGCGUGUCUGGUGUCGGGCGGCUGCAGGAGAACAGAAGGGCGCAGUGCGGGCAGAUAACCAGGAGGGUGCUGGCGGCCCAAGCGCACCCCGCCGGGGCCCCCCCAACCCCGCACACACCCCCGCGUCCCGGAGCAGCCGGGGCCCG
Bos taurus (domestic cattle) is the source of this 1530-nucleotide long non-coding RNA. Lineage: Eukaryota; Metazoa; Chordata; Mammalia; Artiodactyla; Bovidae. The record is from Ensembl.